This is a long non-coding RNA of Pseudophryne corroboree (corroboree frog), 1651 nucleotides long. RefSeq lists it as uncharacterized. Lineage: Eukaryota; Metazoa; Chordata; Amphibia; Anura; Myobatrachidae. The transcript has 2 exons. The record is from RefSeq and is a predicted model, not a curated record.
CUUUCUCACUUCCUGACUGAGGCUGAGUGCUGCUGAACAGAGGUGCGGAGCUGCAACAGACUGAAAUAAGGGAUACUGUCAAAAGAGGUAAUUUAUUAUGGCUACUAUAUAAGGUAUAUCUUCUCAGAUGAUUCUUCCAAGACUGUAUUUGAGGAGAGGCUGCGGUCCGAGCGCCGAAGGGGAGAAAGAAGAACUCGACAGAAAACUCAUGAACAUCCAUCAAGAGGAAAACAUCUCAUCUACUGAGACUUCAAUGGGAGGACAGAGGUGGAAGCCAUUCUCCUCUUCCUGCUCCUGAUACUAAAACAACAGACCAAGCCCAGAUCAUCUCCCUGGUCUAAGUCAUCAUUAUCUAACCUAUCAGCAACCAGCAGAGAGUGGGCAGGAUUUCCAAGCCAUGGUGAUAGAGCUCAACAGCAGAAUCUCCCGGUUAUGGUGAUAGAUUUCAGUCUGUGGAAUCGCCCAGCCACGGUGGCAGAGAUCAAUGGGCAGAAUCUCCCAGUCAUGGGUGUAGUGAUCAGCAGAUUCCCAUCUUACUGUAGAGGAUGAAGCAACACAAUCGUGUGUUAUCUGUUUAAUGUAGUACGAAAAUGGAGAGACGGUGAUUGUCCUGCCCUGCAGCCACAAAUAUCAUACAAGUUGCAUAUACCAGUGGAAAGACACAAAUCCCAGCUAUCCUGUGUGCUGCAGAAAGUGCAUCCCGAGGCCCGUUAUGUGUCAGGUCUCCUGAGUACAGCAGGAAGAUGAAGAUCUAAAUCACCGUUUAUUGUGUUAUUUCCUCCUGUAUCUCUCCCCUCAGCUGUUAUCCUGUUUCCCUCUGUUUCCUUCUCAUUUACCUCUUUUCUCACUCUUUCCAUAUUUCUCCCUGUUUCUUUUCCUUUCCCUCUUCCCUCCAUUCCAUACUAUCCCCCUCUCUGUGUAAUCCUAUCAGCAUUCCGCCAACUACGAUCUCCCCUGCACUUCCCACCCUUUUGCGGCCUAGGGUGGAUGUACUCACAGACUCAAUUAGCAUACUGGGCCUGAUUAAUGCCCUUUGCUGUAGUGGUGCAUGUAGCAAAGAACUGAUGUUUAGUACCUUGCACAUGUGUCGGAUCUAUACUGUGCAUGUGCAGUAAAGAUUGGAGGAGGUUUACAUAGUAUUGGUUUGGUCUGGUCUGGUAUGGUGGCAGCUGCAGUUCUUAGGGAACCUGGUGUUGGCCGGUUUCAGAAUAGACUGUGAUAUUAAGGGUAGUUGUGGUGUUUCCCAGUGGUGCAGCCCAUGCCAUGGAGGAGGCUAGGCAUGGAUAUCAGUUUAGUUCAAGAGCACCACCUGACCAGGUGGGUCUUUUGCCUCUCUGGGAAUGGGUUAGUGCCUCAAGUUGAUGUCUGCUUGUUAUGUUGUCCCCAUAAGAGGUUGGGCAGAUGGCCUUUUCCCUUUGCGAGUUGCUGUCCCCAUAAGGAGUUGGUAGAUAGCCAUUACCCUUGUGAGUUCUUUGGUGGGGAUGAGGGUAGGUGGCCUCAUCCUUGCAAUUUGUGGGCAGUUGACCCAUUUGGUUUGUUAUGUUAACAAGUUACUGCUUUAGCUAGGCAGUUCUUCCCCUGCCAUCAUACCUAAUUUUAAGCAAAAUUUUUGAAAUCCCUUCAAAUAAAAAGCUGACCCCUUUCACGCCAA